UGGGGAAUAUUGCACAAUGGGCGCAAGCCUGAUGCAGCGACGCCGCGUGAGGGAUGGAGGCCUUCGGGUUGUAAACCUCUUUUAUCGGGGAGCAAGCGAGAGUGAGUUUACCCGUUGAAUAAGCACCGGCUAACUACGUGCCAGCAGCCGCGGUAAUACGUAGGGUGCAAGCGUUAUCCGGAAUUAUUGGGCGUAAAGGGCUCGUAGGCGGUUCGUCGCGUCCGGUGUGAAAGUCCAUCGCUUAACGGUGGAUCCGCGCCGGGUACGGGCGGGCUUGAGUGCGGUAGGGGAGACUGGAAUUCCCGGUGUAACGGUGGAAUGUGUAGAUAUCGGGAAGAACACCAAUGGCGAAGGCAGGUCUCUGGGCCGUUACUGACGCUGAGGAGCGAAAGCGUGGGGAGCGAACAGG
Molecule: ribosomal RNA, 409 nt
Filed under: Bacillota bacterium
Lineage: Bacteria; Bacillati; Bacillota
Also listed under: 3 other names
Description: Firmicutes bacterium partial 16S ribosomal RNA
Rfam family: Bacterial small subunit ribosomal RNA
Source: RNAcentral